This 362-nucleotide transfer-messenger RNA is filed under the name chicken gut metagenome. It matches the Rfam family "transfer-messenger RNA". From Rfam's summary of the family: Bacterial tmRNA, also known as 10Sa RNA or SsrA, is named for its dual tRNA and mRNA-like properties. The record is from RNAcentral.
GGGGGUGUACCGGCUUCGACAGUCGGUUUGAGGCGGGGUAAGCAUGCCGCAGGCUCGUCUGCGUAAAAACGGAAAUAAAAAAUAAACGCGAAAAAUACGCAAAAGAACUCCACCAUGGAGUUCGCCCUCGCUGCUUAAUUUAGUCAGCGUGUCGCCCUCGGGUUUUCUGUUCCCCGAGCAAGCGGCAUCAUAAAAACAGACAACGCGGCCCCAUCGCCCGGUAAGGUCGCUGUCAUCACGGGCUUGUCAAGCCGAGGUUCGCCGCCGUACCGAAGCAAGAGACACCUAAACGCCGGCUAAGCAUGUAGAAAGCAUCGUCAACGACCGGUUGGACCGGGGUUCAACUCCCCGCACCUCCACCA